CAACCCUCGAACCCCUCCGGGGGUCCGGCGUUGGGGAUCGGCCCUUAACCGGCCGGCCCCGAAAUACAGUGGCGGCCUCGCCGCAGCCUCUCAUGCGCAGUAGUUUGCACACUCGCACCGGGAGCGCGGCGCGGCCACAGCCGUAAAACAAACCAAACUCUGAAA
This 165-nucleotide unclassified non-coding RNA is filed under the name Trichoderma fertile. Its description in RNAcentral is "partial internal transcribed spacer 2". The record is from RNAcentral. Lineage: Eukaryota; Fungi; Ascomycota; Sordariomycetes; Hypocreales; Hypocreaceae. RNAcentral also lists the same sequence under 1 other name.